CCUACUGGUGGCAGCAGUGGGGAAUAUUGCACAAUGGGGGAAACCCUGAUGCAGCGACGCCGCGUGAGUGAAGAAGUAUCUCGGUAUGUAAAGCUCUGUCUGUAGGGAAGCAAAUGACGGUACCUGACCAAGAAGCCACUGCUCAAUACGUGCCAGCAGCCGCGGAAAUACGUAGGGGGCAAGCGUUAUCCGGAUUUACUGGGUGUAAAGGGAGUGUAGACGGCGGGGCAAGUCUCGCGUGAAAGGCCGGGGGUCAACCCCCGGACUGCUGUGGAAACCGCCAGGCUUGAGUGCAGGAGAGGUAAGUGGAAUUCCUAGUGUAGCGGUGAAAUGCAUAGAUAUUAGGAUGAACACCGGUGGCGAAGGCAGCAUACUGGACUGUAACUGACGUUGAGGCUCGAAAGCGUGGGGAGCAAACAGGAUUAGAUACCCUUGUAGUC
Molecule: ribosomal RNA, 440 nt
Filed under: uncultured bacterium
Lineage: Bacteria
Description: partial 16S ribosomal RNA
Rfam family: Bacterial small subunit ribosomal RNA
Source: RNAcentral